AAAACCGGUUCUCGUCCGAUCACCGAAGUUAAGCAACGUCGAGCUCGGUUAGUACUUGGAUGGGUGACCGCCUGGGAAUACCGGGUGUUGUAG
This 93-nucleotide ribosomal RNA is filed under the name Mytilus edulis (blue mussel). The record is from RNAcentral. Lineage: Eukaryota; Metazoa; Mollusca; Bivalvia; Mytilida; Mytilidae.